This 231-nucleotide long non-coding RNA is filed under the name Prunus persica (peach). RNAcentral describes it as "long non-coding RNA (PPER_LNC000533)". The record is from RNAcentral. Lineage: Eukaryota; Viridiplantae; Streptophyta; Magnoliopsida; Rosales; Rosaceae.
UUUCGGGUUCACCAUUUCUCACAUGUGGAGUGAUGGGGAUCGGGAUCCGGACACAGGUCACAAACCACAUACACGAGCACCGAAAUUUAGGGCUAGUGCAAACUCACAUAUAUCGUAGCAAAUCCAUGCCACAAAGAAACUAUUUUAUUAAUCAUCAACAUAUCUCCUACAACUAUUACAUUAGCCUUAUUUAUAGGCUUUACAAGACUUGAGCAUCAAGGCUACUUGGUC